ACGGAAGGCAGCAGUGGGGAAUAUUGCACAAUGGGCGCAAGCCUGAUGCAGCGAUGCCGCGUGAGGGAAGAAGGUUUUCGGAUUGUAAACCUCUGUCAACAGGGACGAAAAUGACGGUACCUGUGAAGGAAGCUCCGGCUAACUACGUGCCAGCAGCCGCGGUAAUACGUAGGGGGCGAGCGUUGUCCGGAAUGAUUGGGCGUAAAGGGCGCGUAGGCGGCCCGUUAAGUCUGGAGUGAAAGUCCUGCUUUUAAGGUGGGAAUUGCUUUGGAUACUGGCGGGCUUGAGUGCAGGAGAGGUAAGUGGAAUUCCCAGUGUAGCGGUGAAAUGCGUAGAUAUUGGGAGGAACACCAGUGGCGAAGGCGACUUACUGGACUGUUACUGACGCUGAGGCGCGAAAGUGUGGGGAGCAAACAGGAUUAGAUACCCUGGUA
RNAcentral lists this ribosomal RNA (434 nucleotides) under uncultured bacterium. RNAcentral describes it as "partial 16S ribosomal RNA". It matches the Rfam family "Bacterial small subunit ribosomal RNA", at positions 341 to 792 of the family's 1533-position model. The record is from RNAcentral.